UGCUGGAUAGCUUAGUUGGUAGAGCAUGAGUCUCUUAAAUGUCAGGCUGUGCAUUCAAGCCCCACGUUGGGGAA
Molecule: non-coding RNA, 74 nt
Organism: Podarcis lilfordi (Lilford's wall lizard)
Lineage: Eukaryota; Metazoa; Chordata; Lepidosauria; Squamata; Lacertidae
Source: the annotation of a GenBank genome assembly